Spinacia oleracea (spinach) is the source of this 506-nucleotide long non-coding RNA. RefSeq lists it as uncharacterized. The transcript is spliced from 5 exons. NCBI's taxonomy places the organism in Eukaryota, Viridiplantae, Streptophyta, Magnoliopsida, Caryophyllales, Amaranthaceae. The record is from RefSeq and is a predicted model, not a curated record.
CAGCCACCAUACACCCGCCGGACCUCCACCGUCCUCGUCACAGCCGCCCCAGCCGCCGACCACCUACCGCCGCCGCGACCGCCAGCUGCACGCAACCGAGUCGCGCCACCCUCUCCUUGCUGUCGCCGAGCAGUGCUGCCGCCUCCGGCCGCGCCUCACCGCCUGCCGCCGUCGUCCUCUCUCGUCGGCGGAGAAUUCUCCUUAGGCGACUUUUGAAUUAUUAAAGUGGUCUUGCAGUUUGUUUACACAAGUCUCUAAGGAUCAAUAAGCGUUGCCCAUCUACAGGUUUGAAGAUGAUGCAUCAUUGGGAUCGGGAUUAGAGAGCUUGUAGUUAUAUUUGUUUUAUUAAGUGAUUUGGGUUGUUAACUUAUAUUUGAAAGUUGUCGUACUAUUCGUAUUUCCUUAUUUCCGUUAAUUGGUUUUGGACUUAGUAUGUAAUCGAUUAUUUAUGAACCUAAAAGUUAGUUUUAUGUUUUCCGCUGCAAAAUUCUGAAUAAGCCGUACGU